GCCCUGGUGGUCCAGUGGUUAAGACUCUGCACUUAAACUGCAGGGGGCGCAAGUUCGAUUCCUGGUCAGGGAA
This is a transfer RNA of Ovis aries (sheep), 73 nucleotides long. It matches the Rfam family "tRNA". From Rfam's summary of the family: Transfer RNA (tRNA) molecules are approximately 80 nucleotides in length. Their secondary structure includes four short double-helical elements and three loops (D, anti-codon, and T loops). NCBI's taxonomy places the organism in Eukaryota, Metazoa, Chordata, Mammalia, Artiodactyla, Bovidae. The record is from Rfam.